AGGUGCGAUCAUACCAGCAAUACUGGACCGGACCCCAUCAGAUCUCCGCAGUUAAGCGGGGUUGGGCGAAAGUAGUAUUAGGAUGGGGGACCUCCAGGGAAAGUCCCCGUGCUCGUUUGGU
Molecule: ribosomal RNA, 121 nt
Filed under: Glycine max (soybean)
Lineage: Eukaryota; Viridiplantae; Streptophyta; Magnoliopsida; Fabales; Fabaceae
Source: RNAcentral